Molecule: ribosomal RNA, 549 nt
Filed under: uncultured bacterium
Lineage: Bacteria
Description: bacterial SSU rRNA
Rfam family: Bacterial small subunit ribosomal RNA
Source: RNAcentral
UGGGGAAUAUUGCACAAUGGGCGCAAGCCUGAUGCAGCCAUGCCGCGUGUGUGAAGAAGGCCUUCGGGUUGUAAAGCACUUUCAGCGGGGAGGAAGGCGGUGAGGUUAAUAACCUCACCGAUUGACGUUACCCGCAGAAGAAGCACCGGCUAACUCCGUGCCAGCGGCCGCGGUAAUACGGAGGGUGCAAGCGUUAAUCGGAAUUACUGGGCGUAAAGCGCACGCAGGCGGUCUGUCAAGUCGGAUGUGAAAUCCCCGGGCUCAACCUGGGAACUGCAUUCGAAACUGGCAGGCUAGAGUCUUGUAGAGGGGGGUAGAAUUCCAGGUGUAGCGGUGAAAUGCGUAGAGAUCUGGAGGAAUACCGGUGGCGAAGGCGGCCCCCUGGACAAAGACUGACGCUCAGGUGCGAAAGCGUGGGGAGCAAACAGGAUUAGAUACCCUGGUAGUCCACGCUGUAAACGAUGUCGAUUUGGAGGUUGUGCCCUUGAGGCGUGGCUUCCGGAGCUAACGCGUUAAAUCGACCGCCUGGGGAGUACGGCCGCAAGGUUA